UUGAAGAGCAAAGAAGA
This 17-nucleotide small RNA is filed under the name Arabidopsis thaliana (thale cress). RNAcentral's name for it is "ATSL115560". The record is from RNAcentral. Lineage: Eukaryota; Viridiplantae; Streptophyta; Magnoliopsida; Brassicales; Brassicaceae.